GGAUUAGAUACCCUGGUAGUCCACGCCGUAAACGAUGACAACUAGCUGUUGGGAAGCUAUGCUUUUCAGUGGCGCAGCUAACGUCUUAAGUUGUCCGCCUGGGGAGUACGGCCGCAAGGUUAAAACUCAAAUGAAUUGACGAGGACCCGCACAAGCGGUGGAGCAUGUGGUUUAAUUCGAUGCAACGCGAAAAACCUUACCUACACUUGACAUACUUGGAAUCUUUUGUAACGAAAGAGUGCCUUUUGGAGCCAAGAUACAGGUGCUGCAUGGCUGUCGUCAGCUCGUGCCG
RNAcentral lists this ribosomal RNA (292 nucleotides) under uncultured bacterium. RNAcentral's name for it is "partial 16S ribosomal RNA". It matches the Rfam family "Bacterial small subunit ribosomal RNA", at positions 775 to 1067 of the family's 1533-position model. The record is from RNAcentral.